RNAcentral lists this ribosomal RNA (407 nucleotides) under uncultured bacterium. RNAcentral's name for it is "partial 16S ribosomal RNA". It matches the Rfam family "Bacterial small subunit ribosomal RNA", at positions 28 to 525 of the family's 1533-position model. The record is from RNAcentral.
GACGAACGCUGGCGGCGUGCUUAACACAUGCAAGUCGAACGAAGUGGCGAACGGGUGAGUAACGCGUAAUCAACCUGCCCUUCAGAGGGGGACAACAGUUGGAAACGACUGCUAAUACCGCAUAAUGAAGGAGGGGAGGGAGUCGGAUUAGCUAGUUGGAGGGGUAACGGCCCACCAAGGAGAUGAUCAGUAGCCGGUCUGAGAGGAUGACCGGCCACAUUGGGACGGAGACACGGCCCAGACUCCUACGGGAGGCAGCAGUGGGGAACCUUCGGCAAUGGCCGAAAGUCUGACGGAGCAACGCCGCGUGAGUGAUGACGGCCUUCGGGUUUUAAAGCUCUUUUAAUCGGGACGCGGUACCGGAAUAGAAAGCCACGGCUAACUACGUGCCAGCGGCCGCGGUAAUU